Molecule: ribosomal RNA, 569 nt
Filed under: Aspergillus fumigatus
Lineage: Eukaryota; Fungi; Ascomycota; Eurotiomycetes; Eurotiales; Aspergillaceae
Description: eukaryotic LSU rRNA
Rfam family: 5.8S ribosomal RNA (bases 186-339)
Source: RNAcentral
AUAAUCGGGUGAGGCUCUGGGUCCACCUCCCACCCGUGUCUAUCGUACCUUGUUGCUUCGGCGGGCCCGCCGUUUCGACGGCCGCCGGGGAGGCCUUGCGCCCCCGGGCCCGCGCCCGCCGAAGACCCCAACAUGAACGCUGUUCUGAAAGUAUGCAGUCUGAGUUGAUUAUCGUAAUCAGUUAAAACUUUCAACAACGGAUCUCUUGGUUCCGGCAUCGAUGAAGAACGCAGCGAAAUGCGAUAAGUAAUGUGAAUUGCAGAAUUCAGUGAAUCAUCGAGUCUUUGAACGCACAUUGCGCCCCCUGGUAUUCCGGGGGGCAUGCCUGUCCGAGCGUCAUUGCUGCCCUCAAGCACGGCUUGUGUGUUGGGCCCCCGUCCCCCUCUCCCGGGGGACGGGCCCGAAAGGCAGCGGCGGCACCGCGUCCGGUCCUCGAGCGUAUGGGGCUUUGUCACCUGCUCUGUAGGCCCGGCCGGCGCCAGCCGACACCCAACUUUAUUUUUCUAAGGUUGACCUCGGAUCAGGUAGGGAUACCCGCUGAACUUAAGCAUAUCAUAGGCGCGGAGGAA